AUUCUACAUUUCAUUCCGGCCUGAGAAACCGGCUGGACGUGAAAAAUGCUCGUGAAUUCUUAUUAGAGAUGGUGACUGUGCCUCGGAGCAGGACAUUGCAUAUUCAUCAGCGUGACGGACCUCAGCUCCCCACCUCAGCAGGGUGAACCUUGCGCUCACCGGGAUGCACGAAUGGUCAGCUCUGGCCUGACGUGGACUCUGUGGGUGGUUGGAGCCCUGGACCUUGCAGAAAACAGGAAAAGACUUCUUGUCUCUCCUUCCGGCACUUUCUCAAGUGCUGUCAAGUGCUUUAUUUUAAUAGUCACUGUAGUUUUCAGGUUACCAUCCUAAUAUAGGCUCAUUGUAGAAAAUUUGAAACUAUGUGGAAAUAUAAAGUUGAAAAUAGGUAUUCCCCCAAAUUCCACCACCCAGGGCUAAACAUUGUUGUAUUUCUUCCGGUCUUUUUUCCUCUGUGUGUAUAUAUUAAAAAAACUAUGAAUCAAUAUAUACAUAUGAAAUUGGGAUCAUAUCGUACCUAUGGUUUUGUAUAUUUUUUCUCCCUUUUAAUGGUAUAUACAAAGCAUCUCUUGUGUCUUUAAGCGCCGUUUGUCAGCAUCAAUCUAGCGCCCGGCCACACACAGCCGUCACGUGGCUGUAGUUCAAUGGAUUUAAUUACCCUCAUUGAUGGACGGUGAGGUGGGGAGUUUUCUAUUUUGACCGUGUACAACGAAAACGUCCCUGGCUUUUUUAAGGGUAGCUUUUUUUUUAAACGUUUUAUUUUAUAUUGGAGUCUAGUUGAUUUACAGUGUUGUGUUAGUUUCAGGUGUACGGCAAAGUGAUUCAGUUAUACAUAUACAUGUAUCUAUUGUUUUUCAGAUUACCUUCCCGUGUAGGUUAUUACAGAAUACUGAGCAGAGUUCCCUGUGCUAUGCAGUAGGUCCUUGUUGGUUAUCUAUUUUAAAUACAGUAGUGUGUAUCUGGUAAUCCCCAACCCCCAAUUUAUCCCUUCCCCCCACCUUUCCC
This is a long non-coding RNA of Kogia breviceps (pygmy sperm whale), 1002 nucleotides long. RefSeq lists it as uncharacterized. Lineage: Eukaryota; Metazoa; Chordata; Mammalia; Artiodactyla; Physeteridae. The record is from RefSeq and is a predicted model, not a curated record.